RNAcentral lists this long non-coding RNA (258 nucleotides) under Bos taurus (domestic cattle). RNAcentral describes it as "long non-coding RNA NONBTAT013775". The record is from RNAcentral. Lineage: Eukaryota; Metazoa; Chordata; Mammalia; Artiodactyla; Bovidae.
GGAAACCUCCUAUGCAGUUAGUUGCCUAAAACCAGUCUUUAGUUGAUGGUUUCUCUUCAUAAUGGCUGUUUUGUGUGUGAGCCUAGAUUGUGUGUGUUGGGGGUUGGGGAUGUGGAGUAAUAGUGUGUAAAGGGUAUUGUUGGUUAUGCUCAUUGGGGCUUUAUCUGUAUUCGGCUGAAGGGACCAGUGUUUUACCGAGCAGUCUCUGCUUUUGCUUCUAUAAGCAAAUGCUUACAUGGCUAGAAUGAGGGAGGGAGA